UGGGGGAAUAUUGCGGCAAUGGGGGGCAACCCUGACGCAGCAACGCCGCGUGAUUGAAGAAGGUCUUCGGAUUGUAAAAAUCUUUUAUCAGGGACGAAGAAGUGACGGUACCUGAUGAAUAAGCUCCGGCUAACUACGUGCCAGCAGCCGCGGUAAUACGUAGGGAGCAAGCGUUAUCCGGAUUUACUGGGUGUAAAGGGCGAGUAGGCGGGUCGGCAAGUUGGGAGUGAAAUGUCGGGGCUUAACCCCGGAACUGCUUCCAAAACUGUUGAUCUUGAGUGAUGGAGAGGCAGGCGGAAUUCCCAGUGUAGCGGUGAAAUGCGUAGAUAUU
Molecule: ribosomal RNA, 331 nt
Filed under: uncultured Butyricicoccus sp.
Lineage: Bacteria; Bacillati; Bacillota; Clostridia; Eubacteriales; Butyricicoccaceae
Description: bacterial SSU rRNA
Rfam family: Bacterial small subunit ribosomal RNA
Source: RNAcentral